UGGUGGAGUGAUUUGUCUGGUUGAUUCCGUUAACGAACGAGACCUCGGCUUACUAAAUAGAGCUGCUUUUCCAACGAAAGGUAUAUCUUCUUAGAAGGACAAUUCGGUUUUACCGGAUGGAAGUUCGAGGCAAUAACA
Molecule: ribosomal RNA, 138 nt
Filed under: uncultured eukaryote
Lineage: Eukaryota
Description: partial 18S ribosomal RNA
Rfam family: Eukaryotic small subunit ribosomal RNA
Source: RNAcentral